This 850-nucleotide long non-coding RNA is filed under the name Homo sapiens (human). Its description in RNAcentral is "HSALNT0407397". Lineage: Eukaryota; Metazoa; Chordata; Mammalia; Primates; Hominidae. The record is from RNAcentral.
AAUCUGUGAGGUGGAUGCGUGUUGGAAGGACCCCUUUUGGUUUCUUUUUGCUCAGAGCUUUCUUUUAAUAAAUUCCGCUCUCCUCACCUUUCAAUGUGUCCGUAUGCCUAAUUUUUCCUGGUCCUGUGACAAGAACCUGAUUUUAGCUGAACUAAGGAGCGAAAGAUCCUGGAUCAUUUUGGUGACCCAUACUGGUACAUGAGGAAAGCAGGUCACAAAACCCUCCUGUGAGAGGAACCCUCUGUGGAAGAACAGAAUAUGUCACCCCAAAAUAUGAAGAAUUGUUGAGCUGAAGAUGAUUAAGAAGAAGCGGAUGCAGGAAAGCUCUCUGCUCUCCCUCUAUUUGCUUAAAAGCAGGAUAAACACUUACAAAGACUAAAGGUAUCCUUGCCUUCUGCCAGGAAGAAAAGGGUUAACUGCCAGAACAGCUUUAGACCCUCAUUGGCCUGUAGAUGGUACUAGAGAAAUCUACAUUAACAAGCUUUAUUAAUUCGCUUUUAUCUGCCAUUUAUUUGCCCUCCCCCAAGUUACUGUCAAAGUCCUUUUCGUUUGUCUUGUCACUUCUCUAAAAAUUGACUGUUCUUUAUUGAAGAUGCUAUAUAAGCUGUAAUUUAAAGACAUACUUCCAUUUGUUUUUCUCCCGUUAAUCUGUUUUUUGUUAUAGGGGUCCAUUCCAACUAAGAAACUAUGGGGGACCAGGCAUGGUGGCUCACGCCUAUAAUCCCAGCACUUUGGGAGGCCAAGGCCGGCAGAUCACGAGGUCAGGAGAUCGAGACCAUCCUGGCCAACAUGGUGAAACCCCAUCUCUAUUUAAAAAAUACAAAAAAUUAACUGGGUGUGGUGGCAUGCA